Molecule: ribosomal RNA, 495 nt
Filed under: Triticum aestivum (bread wheat)
Lineage: Eukaryota; Viridiplantae; Streptophyta; Magnoliopsida; Poales; Poaceae
Description: partial small subunit ribosomal RNA
Source: RNAcentral
AAGCAGAUUGCCGAUGGCAAAGAAGUAGAUGUCUCAAGCAAGAAGCCAGGAAGAGCUGGCCGAAAGAGAAAGGAGCUGGAUUUAGCGAGGACCUCAACAAUCCCACUGAAUAAAAGGACAAUUCGAUCUCUGGCACGGUCUCUAGGUGUUGCCCGAUCGGACCUACAUAAUAGGUUCCAGUUGAAUGAGCUCAACCGCAUCGCAAGCACUGUGAAGCCUCACCUCAAGCCAGAGAACAAGUUUGCGAGAUUGAAAUUUUGCAUGUCCAUGCUCGAUGACAAUUGGAUCUCAACUUCUUGGGCUAUGUUCAAGCCAAUGACCAAUAUAGUUCACAUCGAUGAAAAGUGGUUUGACAUGAUGAGAGUGAAGAAUAGUUACUAUGUACUUCCAGGAGAACCUGAACCCAAGCGCACCGUGUCAAACACUAACAACAUUGGGAAGGUAAUGUUCCUAACAGCUGUGGCCAGGCCUCGAUAUAACAAUGAGGGGAGCUAA